Molecule: antisense RNA, 70 nt
Filed under: Vibrio vulnificus
Lineage: Bacteria; Pseudomonadati; Pseudomonadota; Gammaproteobacteria; Vibrionales; Vibrionaceae
Description: RNA-OUT
Rfam family: RNA-OUT
About the family: Transposition of insertion sequence IS10 is regulated by an anti-sense RNA which inhibits transposase expression when IS10 is present in multiple copies per cell.
Source: RNAcentral
UCGCACAUCUUGUUGUCUGGUUAUUGAUUUUUCGCAGAACCACUUGAUCACAUGACAAGAUGUGCAUCCA